RNAcentral lists this ribosomal RNA (253 nucleotides) under uncultured bacterium. Its description in RNAcentral is "partial 16S ribosomal RNA". It matches the Rfam family "Bacterial small subunit ribosomal RNA", at positions 524 to 776 of the family's 1533-position model. The record is from RNAcentral.
UACGUAGGGGGCAAGCGUUGUCCGGAAUCAUUGGGCGUAAAGAGCGUGUAGGCGGCCUGGUAAGUCCGCUGUGAAAGUCCAGGGCUCAACCUUUGAAAGCCGAUGGAUACUGUGAGGCUAGAGUCCGGAAGAGGCGAGUGGAAUUCCUGGUGUAGCGGUGGAAUGCGCAGAUAUCAGGAGGAACACCAAUAGCGAAGGCAGCUCGCUGGGACGGUACUGACGCUAAGGCGCGAAAGCGUGGGGAGCGAACAGG